GUUGAAAGAGAAAACUGGAAGCAGCUUGGAUCUGUGCCUCUUUGUGCUAGAAGACUAGAUAUGAUGCUGGUGGCUUUAUUAGCAGCUAUAUGCACAGGUCUUUAUUGCAUCUCACAUUAAAUGGUCUGAUUUUAUUGUCACUUCUUAGAAUUAACUGUAGGGAUUCCUGAAGUCUUGUAUAAACUACUGAGCUGCCCAGGGCUGCCAAUCCACCCUGUGCUGCUGAGUCACCAGGAUGCUUUCCUUGGAAAGAAGGAAAUAGCAAUUUCCAGAAUUACUGCUGUGUGAGGCUGAUCCUGUUCUGUAUUUGUUGUUUCUGUUAUGCUAAGUACUGUGCAGAAAGAAUGGUCUGACAUAAAAACAUGUGUACAGUAAUGAGCUCCUGGCAAAGGGAAGAGGGAGACGCUGACGGCUGCUGCUGGACAGUCAAACAAGUCAGAGGGAGGAGGAAAUACUGUGUUCACUUCGCAGAACUUAGAUGAAAUCAAUUUUUCCGAAGUCUUAAUUCUUCCCCUGCAUUGAAACUCUGUGAUCUGGAAAGCAGCACGUUUGUAUUUCUGUACUGUUGCAUCAAUAAAGAGCUUGGGUUUUGAAGGCUUCCUUAUUGAAUAAUCUGGCCUAAUUUAAUUGGAAUUUGGCUGGUGUGAAAGGUAGUUUUUGAUUGCAUUUGCUCUUGAUCAUUUCUAUUAAAACUUUGAGAUCUAGAAAAGUAAUAUGCUUGUAUUUACUUAUCAUAGCAAUGGAGAUCUGAAUUGGCAGACUCUCUAUGAAAUUACCCGAUGAAUACAAAUAGCACAUUUAGUUUGGUUUCAUAUUGAUUUUUGCCAUUAUUAUUAAAACCCUCUGAUUUGAAGAAUGAGGUGCUUGUAUUUCCUUAAUAUCUUAUUACUGGGGUUUUGGUUAAUCUUGUAAAGCUUUUUCCUUUUGUGCAACCAAGCCUGAUUAAUUGGAGUUUUACAUAAGGCAAUUUUGGCUCUAAAAAGGGGGAAUAAGAGCUCAGUUCCCUCAGAUAAAAGAGUGAAGAAAUCUGUUCUUAUCAUGGGCCUCUUAAAACCAAGAGUAAAACUUUAAAACCAAGGGCUGGUGCCUAGGUGGGGACAGGGGGUGCACAAAGGCUUUGUUGGUCU
Molecule: long non-coding RNA, 1127 nt
Organism: Columba livia (rock pigeon)
Lineage: Eukaryota; Metazoa; Chordata; Aves; Columbiformes; Columbidae
Exons: 3
Source: RefSeq, a predicted model, not a curated record